AUUGAACGCUGGCGGCAGGCUUAACACAUGCAAGUCGAGCGGAGAUGAGGUGCUUGCACCUUAUCUUAGCGGCGGACGGGUGAGUAAUGCUUAGGAAUCUGCCUAUUAGUGGGGGACAACAUUCCGAAAGGAAUGCUAAUACCGCAUACGUCCUACGGGAGAAAGCAGGGGAUCUUCGGACCUUGCGCUAAUAGAUGAGCCUAAGUCGGAUUAGCUAGUUGGUGGGGUAAAGGCCUACCAAGGCGACGAUCUGUAGCGGGUCUGAGAGGAUGAGCCGCCACACUGGGACUGAGACACGGCCCAGACUCCUACGGGAGGCAGGAGUGAGGAAUAUUGGACAAUGGGGGGAACCCUGAUCCAGCCAUGCCGCGUGUGUGAAGAAGGCCUUAUGGUUGUAAAGCACUUUAAGCGAGGAGGAGGCUACUGAGACUAAUACUCUUGGAUAGUGGACGUUACUCGCAGAAUAAGCACCGGCUAACUCUGUGCCAGCCGCCGCAGUAA
RNAcentral lists this ribosomal RNA (501 nucleotides) under uncultured bacterium. Its description in RNAcentral is "partial 16S ribosomal RNA". It matches the Rfam family "Bacterial small subunit ribosomal RNA", at positions 30 to 523 of the family's 1533-position model. The record is from RNAcentral.